RNAcentral lists this ribosomal RNA (831 nucleotides) under Amylascus verus. RNAcentral describes it as "partial 28S ribosomal RNA". It matches the Rfam family "Eukaryotic large subunit ribosomal RNA", at positions 13 to 855 of the family's 3401-position model. Lineage: Eukaryota; Fungi; Ascomycota; Pezizomycetes; Pezizales; Pezizaceae. The record is from RNAcentral.
AGGUAGGGAUACCCGCUGAACUUAAGCAUAUCAAUAAGCGGAGGAAGAGAAACCMACAGGGAUUGCCUUAGUAACGGCGAGUGAAGUGGCAAAAGCUCAGAUUUGAAAUCUGGUGUUUUUAUAGGCACCUGAGUUGUAAUCUGUAGAGGAGUUUUCGGAGGAUGACUAUGGUUAAAGUUCCUUGGAAAAGGGCAUCAUAGAGGGUGAGAAUCCUGUUUAUGACCUUAGUACUUCUCCAUUAUGAAUCUCCUUCAAUGAGUCGAGUUGUUUGGGAAUGCAGCUCUAAAUGGGUGGUAAAUUCCAUCUAAAGCUAAAUAUUGGCAAGAGACCGAUAGCGCACAAGUAGAGUGAUCGAAAGAUGAAAAGAACUCUGAACAGAGAGUUAAAGAGUACGUGAAAUUGUUGAAAGGGAAGCACUUGUGACCAGAUGAAUUUGCAAUUAAUCAGCCAUCAAUUUUUGGUGGUGCACUUAAUUGUAAGUGGGUUAGCAUCAGUUAUAGCAGUGGGAAAAAGACCGAGGGAAUGUAGCUCCUCUUUGAGGAGUGUUAAUUAGUCCUUGGUUUAAUACCGCUUAUUAUGACUGAGGAUUGCGCUUUGAGCAAGGAUGCUGACAUAAUGGUCAUAAGUGACCCGUCUUGAAACACGGACCAAGGAGUCUAACAUCUAUGCGAGUGUUUGGGUUCAAGCCCUUACGCAUAAUGAAAGUGAAUGAAGGUGGGAACCUUUGGGUGCACCAUCGACCGAUCCUGAUGUUUUCGGAUGGAUUUGAGUAGGAGCAUAGCUGUUGGGACCCGAAAGAUGGUGAACUAUGCCUGAAUAGGGUGAAGCCAG